AUGGAGGCCCUUAUAGGUAUGUCUCCUCAAGAGCCUCUGAAACCACAAGGAGGCAAGAAGAGGGAAAGAGUUGCAGCCAGUGCUCCUUUCACCUGGAAUGCAUUCCACUUAGGGCAUUGCCAUGAGGAUGCUAUCAAUGAAGUGAUCCAGACAUACGCUCGUGUCUACAUGUGGUACGUUAUCUCCAGGACUCUGUUUGCUAUAGCACAGGCAAGAAUGCUCCAUGGAUGUGGUUGA
Molecule: ribosomal RNA, 237 nt
Filed under: Triticum aestivum (bread wheat)
Lineage: Eukaryota; Viridiplantae; Streptophyta; Magnoliopsida; Poales; Poaceae
Description: partial small subunit ribosomal RNA
Source: RNAcentral